This 468-nucleotide ribosomal RNA is filed under the name uncultured bacterium. RNAcentral's name for it is "partial 16S ribosomal RNA". It matches the Rfam family "Bacterial small subunit ribosomal RNA", at positions 28 to 507 of the family's 1533-position model. The record is from RNAcentral.
GACGAACGCUGGCGGCGUGCUUAACACAUGCAAGUCGAACGGAAAGGCCCGGCUCUUGUGGGGUGCUCGAGUGGCGAACGGGUGAGUAACACGUGAGUAACCUGCCCUUGACUGAGGGAUAACUUCAGGAAACUGGGGCUAAUACCGGAUAGGAGCUCCUGCUGCAUGGUGGGGGUUGGAAAGAUUCGGCGGUUGGGGAUGGACUCGCGGCUUAUCAGCUUGUUGGGGGGGUAGUGGCUGACCAAGGCUUUGACGGGUAGCCGGCCUGAGAGGGUGACCGGCCACAUUGGGACUGAGAUACGGCCCAGACUCCUACGGGAGGCAGCAGUGGGGAAUAUUGCACAGUGGGCGGACGCCUGAUGCAGCGACGCCGCGUGCGGGAUGACGUCCUUCGGGUUGUAAACCGAUUUCGCCUGUGACGAGGCGUGAGUGACGGUAAUGGGUAAAGAAGCACCGGCUAACUACGUG